UACAGAGGGGGCAAGCGUUGUUCGGAAUUACUGGGCGUAAAGGGCGCGUAGGCGGCCCGCUAAGUCGAACGUGAAAUCCCCGGGCUUAACCCGGGAACUGCGUCCGAUACUGGCAGGCUUGAAUUCGGGAGAGGGAUGUGGAAUUCCAGGUGUAGCGGUGAAAUGCGUAGAUAUCUGGGAGGAACACCGGUGGCGAAGGCGGCAUCCUGGACCGAUAUUGACGCUGAUGCGCGAAAGCCAGGGGAGCAAACGGGG
RNAcentral lists this ribosomal RNA (255 nucleotides) under uncultured bacterium. Its description in RNAcentral is "partial 16S ribosomal RNA". It matches the Rfam family "Bacterial small subunit ribosomal RNA", at positions 524 to 777 of the family's 1533-position model. The record is from RNAcentral.